This 750-nucleotide long non-coding RNA is filed under the name Chinchilla lanigera (long-tailed chinchilla). RNAcentral describes it as "lncRNA (ENSCLAG00000025966.1)". Lineage: Eukaryota; Metazoa; Chordata; Mammalia; Rodentia; Chinchillidae. The record is from RNAcentral.
CACAAAGGUAAAACAGGAGGAUAGAAUAGCAGAGAGAAGGGGCAUGUGGCUUCAGCAAGUGUCAGCUACUGUUACCCAAGCAGACGUGAGAGUCAGCACAGGGCCUCUACAAGGGUGCUCUGACCAAGAGGGAGGGCAUUUUGGCAAGCAGAAAGGAAUGGUUCGCAAGGUAUCAUGGAGACUGGACACGAGCAGGAAGCAAAGGGAAGAAGAAACUCACUCAGGGCAGCUGUGGUAGCAUCUGCCUUCGUGCAGGAAGAGAGGAUGGUCCAGCUGAGUGUGGCACUGCGUGCAGAGAUCGUCCCCAGAGCAAGAGGCGCAGUCCUCCGCACAGUUCUCGCAGCUGCCACUCCUGACUGAGGGCCACGUGCCUUGGGGACAGGAGGAAACGCAAGCCUGGGCCAACAGGAUGUCACACAUGGAGCUGAUCCGCCAGCCAGGAGCCUUCCGUACCGCCCCCUGUGGAUGCACCGUUGGCUCCGCACGCACUCGAUGUGCGCCCUUCUCCUUUCCUUUCCAAGAGCAUCUGCCCCGUGGGCUUUUCCAGGACGCCCCUCUCCAGCAAUACGUGGCCGUUUCAGCGGCGGAGAGGCCUGCGUGCCCGCCUCCGUCCGCGCUGAGGGGCGUCUGAAGGCCGAAAGAGACAAUGCGUGCAAAGUGCUCCACGCAGAGGCUCAGUCAGGCGCUCCAUCUGCCGGCUCUCCUUCCCAGCCCUUGCGAGCACCUCCCUUCUGCCGCGCUCCUACCUGA